AGGUGAAUCACCAAAACAUGCUCAAGUCAUAUUUCACCUCUGAAUAAAAAGGAAAAAUACAUAAAACAUAACAUUUUACAUAAAUAAAACGUCUGCAUUUAUGAGCAAUGAGAUUUCUUUGGACUAUAAGCCAGUUAGCACAUGUUCCCCUAAAUGUUCUAUAUACUGAAUGCAAAAAAAUGUUGUGUGACAUGAAAAUCACAGCCAAUAAGAUAUUUGAUAUGAGCUGAAAUAUUAAGGUGGAUGGGGCUGCAGAAAUAAUACUCAUAACGAUCAGUUGCAACAAUAAUGACUACAAUAAUAUAGUUUUUUAUAUAUAUAUAUAUAUAUAUAUAUAUAUAUAUAUAUAUAUAUAUAUAUAUAUAUAUAUAUUAUCUGUUUAUGUUUACAUUUUACACAUUUAUACAUUAAAAUGUUAAUAAUAAUAUAUAUAUCAAUAAAAUCAGCCCAUGAAAUUCUUCCCCCAGUAUCAGUGUUGGUCUGAGUGCUAAAUAUCGUCCUUUGUGUUAAUAUGAGUUUCAUGUUUCUCUGAUUGCUUUUUCCCACAGGUUGGCUCUUACCUCCUUGGACAGGCUUUUUUUUUUUUUUUUAAAGAUCCAUGUUCUCUUUUAAAGCCACAGAGAGAAAGGAAACCUGUCGUGUGAGAAUGCAUACAGAGGAAAAUAAAAUGCUGAGUUUGAUCACCCCCCUUUAAACAGAGAAGCUGGUGGCACAACAAAGAGGAGAAGGAAAUUUAAACAAGGAAGAGAUGACAAGGAAAUACAAAGCGUGGUAAAAAUGAGAAUGGACGGGAAGGAAACUGGAACAAGGAAGAAAAAGAAAUGAGAUACAGAGAGACAAAGAGAUAGAGAGGGAGGGACAGAAACUGCUCCCAGAGCUGCGUUCAAAACAAAGGUCAGAGCUGAAAGACAGACAGUGUACAGUCUCAAGAGCUGGGCACAUGGUGUGCAAAGAGCGCCAGCCUUCCCAUCUGAGAAAUCUGAAAUUAAGCCAUUUCACAAACAGACAUUAGGGCAGAAUCCAAAUAUCAAAGACAUUUCUAACCUGAACAAAUUAACACGCCACAAAGAGUUAAUAUCAAUGAAUUUAUUACAAUUUACUCAGCUCCAAGGCACGUUACAAGUCUUCUGUUACUACAGAAAUAUGUAUAAACAAACAGAGCAUUUUGUUUUUAAUUUACAGUAUUUUUUGCUCUACUAAAGUAUCCGUGCAACUUUAAAGCAAAAAGAGAAAAUGAAAACACGUAAUAAAAUAUAUCUGUAUUCUCAUACCACGGGAUACAAAUUAAAAAUCGCUGUUUCAAAGAUCAUACUUGAAAAAAACAAAAAAAACAGACGGGAUCAAGAAACAAAGAAUGCCCUCUCUUAGACUCACUUCAUUUGUUAUACCUACCACAAAAAAAGUGUAUUUAUUAAUAACAUUUUUUUUUGCUUGGCAUUGUACAUGUAGAUGUGGAAAAUAAGUAUGAAGUUGAAUAGAAAUGUUAACGCAAC
Molecule: long non-coding RNA, 1493 nt
Organism: Cyprinus carpio carpio
Lineage: Eukaryota; Metazoa; Chordata; Actinopteri; Cypriniformes; Cyprinidae
Source: Ensembl